Molecule: long non-coding RNA, 347 nt
Organism: Lepidothrix coronata (blue-crowned manakin)
Lineage: Eukaryota; Metazoa; Chordata; Aves; Passeriformes; Pipridae
Exons: 3
Source: RefSeq, a predicted model, not a curated record
UGCUCCCCCCAGCCCGGUACCUCUGGUGCGGUAGGAGACCACGGCCACGGCCCUGGAGAGAGGGAGGGAGGAGAGAGCUGCAGCAUCCACCUCUUCCAAGCCAGGUGCCUCCACUGAUAUCCCACCAGGUCCAUAACAAAGUUGCUGAUGACACCUGCCAGGAGGGAAUGCAGCACAAGCACAGGAUCAGCACAGGAGCCAAGGUGGGCAAAUCUCUGCUUUCAUCCCCCAUGUCAGCUCUGAGACAGUGGAUUACUGUGUUCCAGCUCUGGUUACACUGUGCAUGGCUGUGUCAGACUUAUCCCUGAAAUACAGUGUUGGGAUGGUCCAUUCAGCACCCCCUAACU